Molecule: small nuclear RNA, 107 nt
Filed under: Cavia aperea (Brazilian guinea pig)
Lineage: Eukaryota; Metazoa; Chordata; Mammalia; Rodentia; Caviidae
Source: RNAcentral
GUGCUCGCUUUGGCAGCACAUAUACUAAAAUUGGGACUUUACAGAGAAGAUUAAUAUGGCCCCUGCACAAGGAUGACAUGCAAAUUUGGGAAGUGUUCAAUAUUUUU